RNAcentral lists this ribosomal RNA (230 nucleotides) under Clostridioides difficile. Its description in RNAcentral is "partial 16S ribosomal RNA". It matches the Rfam family "Bacterial small subunit ribosomal RNA", at positions 607 to 841 of the family's 1533-position model. Lineage: Bacteria; Bacillati; Bacillota; Clostridia; Peptostreptococcales; Peptostreptococcaceae. The record is from RNAcentral.
GCUCAACCGUAGUAAGCUCUUGAAACUGGGAGACUUGAGUGCAGGAGAGGAGAGUGGAAUUCCUAGUGUAGCGGUGAAAUGCGUAGAUAUUAGGAGGAACACCAGUUGCGAAGGCGGCUCUCUGGACGGUAACUGACGCUGAGGCACGAAAGCGUGGGGAGCAAACAGGAUUAGAUACCCUGGUAGUCCACGCUGUAAACGAUGAGUACUAGGUGUCGGGGGUUACCCCC